This 253-nucleotide ribosomal RNA is filed under the name uncultured bacterium. RNAcentral describes it as "partial 16S ribosomal RNA". It matches the Rfam family "Bacterial small subunit ribosomal RNA", at positions 524 to 776 of the family's 1533-position model. The record is from RNAcentral.
UACGAAGGGGGCUAGCGUUGUUCGGAAUCACUGGGCGUAAAGCGCACGUAGGCGGAUUUGUCAGUCAGGGGUGAAAUCCCGGGGCUCAACCUCGGAACUGCCUUUGAUACAGCAAAUCUCGAGUCCGGAAGAGGUGGGUGGAAUUCCUAGUGUAGAGGUGAAAUUCGUAGAUAUUAGGAAGAACACCAGUGGCGAAGGAGGCCCACUGGUCCGGUACUGACGCUGAGGUGCGAAAGCUAGGGGAGCAAACGGG